Molecule: transfer RNA, 76 nt
Filed under: Magnetococcales bacterium
Lineage: Bacteria; Pseudomonadati; Pseudomonadota; Magnetococcia; Magnetococcales
Also listed under: 2 other names
Description: tRNA-Thr
Rfam family: tRNA
About the family: Transfer RNA (tRNA) molecules are approximately 80 nucleotides in length. Their secondary structure includes four short double-helical elements and three loops (D, anti-codon, and T loops).
Source: RNAcentral
GCCGACGUAGCUCAAUUGGCAGAGCAACGGAUUUGUAAUCCGUAGGUUAGGGGUUCGAUUCCCCUCGUCGGCUCCA